GUCUGGGAGGGGACUGAAGCCAUCCAGCUCCUGGGGAACCUCCUACUGCUAUGAGGAAAAGAGCGAUGACUGCACUUGCUGCUUUGAGCUGAGAGGGGUUGAUGUGCAGUGGGGCCAGCAGUUUGGUGCCCCUUUUUCAAGGGGUCCAUGGUAAAAAUCUGGUUUACCUGUGGAUGGGUGCUUCUAUGAGAGAAACAAAAAGACUUGAGUACUGAAAUAAGAUUAAUACAAAAUAGCAGUUGUAGUAUCUGUAGAAACAAUAAUCUUUCACCAAGAGGUAUAAGAAUUGAGAAGCUGUUACCAUAACAUGGCCAGCCUAACAAAGUCUAGGAAGCUUUUAUUUGGGAAUGUAAAUCUUUAACAUUGUCAGAGUUAUCAGGAAUGUAAGCACAACAUUUAGUUAAGCUACUUAAUGUCAUCUGAUUUUUGUAAAAUGUCUUUUUAUUGACAUGAUCUCUGGGUCAGUAGAGAUCCCUUUAUCUUUGUUACUUAGGGCUAGAUAAUUAUACUAGUAAAUGCUGAUUAAGUCUACCUGUGUAGGAGGUUAGGAAGAUCUGUAAGCCUUAAAACUUCUAGCUCUGUUAGUUUCUCUUGGUAGUUAUCAGGCAUUCUUGCCUAAGAAUCACUCUUAUGUUGCCUUCAGUUUUACUUAUUGUAGGGGACUAACCCAAGUGUACAUCUUAAAUUACAUUAAAAUAACUAUUAUUUCUUAAA
This is a long non-coding RNA of Ictidomys tridecemlineatus (thirteen-lined ground squirrel), 714 nucleotides long. RefSeq lists it as uncharacterized. NCBI's taxonomy places the organism in Eukaryota, Metazoa, Chordata, Mammalia, Rodentia, Sciuridae. The record is from RefSeq and is a predicted model, not a curated record.